UACGUAGGGGGCUAGCGUUGUCCGGAUUUAUUGGGCGUAAAGAGCGUGUAGGCGGCCAGGUAGGUCUGCUGUGAAAACUCGAGGCUCAACCUCGAGACGUCGGCGGAAACCAUCUGGCUAGAGUCCGGAAGAGGAGAGUGGAAUUCCUGGUGUAGCGGUGAAAUGCGCAGAUAUCGAGAGGAACACCUGCGGCGAAGGCGGGUUGCUGGGCUGACACUGACGCUGAAGCGCGAAAGCUAGGGGAGCGAACGGG
This 253-nucleotide ribosomal RNA is filed under the name uncultured bacterium. RNAcentral's name for it is "partial 16S ribosomal RNA". It matches the Rfam family "Bacterial small subunit ribosomal RNA", at positions 524 to 776 of the family's 1533-position model. The record is from RNAcentral.